This 1232-nucleotide unclassified non-coding RNA is filed under the name Leishmania donovani. RNAcentral describes it as "gene:LdHU3.07.0050(CDS-product:Isy1-like_splicing _family_putative)". The record is from RNAcentral. Lineage: Eukaryota; Euglenozoa; Kinetoplastea; Trypanosomatida; Trypanosomatidae.
AGCAUUCUCUUGCCAGCCGCCUUUCGAAGUGCAAUGCAGGAUAGACUAAGGGAAAUCGAGGGCACGCUUGCCCGAACAAAGGAGCGAAAAAAUACGAUCUUGUACAAGCUAUCUAAGCGGCGUCAAGAGGAAGAACGGCUUGCCAGGCUCGGCGUGGAAAGGCUUCCGACGAAUCCAAGCGAAGUGAACGAUGAAAAGGUCAUUAAAUAUGUCCUCUUCAGGCUGAAGCAGGAGAUCGGUGACAAAACGGCACAGCUGCGAGAUCAAAAGCUGCUUAGCAUUGACAGAGACGGCGAGGCCGUUAUUCGAGCAAAAAAUGAUGAAGUAAAUAAACUUCUCUCUCGGAAGUGUCAGUGGGAAGGGCGCCUAUCCUUUCUUGCAGGUGAAGAGAUCGCGCCGCGCUCGCGCAAAAAGAUUUUUAUUGGAUGUGCCAAAUAUCUCCCUGAAGCGUCAGUGGCGCGAAAGCGGCAGCGUGGAGAGAGCAUGCAGGAGGUGGAAGAAGAUGAGGUAGCUGAUAGCUCCGAGGAGGAUGAGCUAGUGCCCGAUCAACCGGAAACUGAGCAGCCUGCAACGCGAGAUCACGACUACCUUGAAAGCGUAAAGUGGUUGGGAUCGAGUGCUGCUGACAUGGACUUGGUUCGGUUUGAGCGUGAGGCGGAGGCGAGAAUGCGUGCAAAAGGAGAUAACAUUGUCUCUCGAACUGGCUCAAGCGCCCUUAUUCUCUCUUACUGCAAAGAGGGAAAAGUUAUGAUUCCGGACGAGGACCAUUUCAGGCAGCAGCUCGUAAACGAUCGCAAAAAAGUGCUGCAGGAGCGUUUGAACGCGCUUCGUGGGAAAAGUUGAAUGCUUUCUCAGUAUGUCUCGAUUGGGCUCGCGGAGCCCCUGCUUCUACCUUUUCUGCCGCAAGAUAUAAACGAAAAAAGUAAACGUGAAGCUCCCGUUGGACACUCUCCUUGGUUUCAUAUCGAAGUAGAGCAACUCCCCGGGGAUGCGAAGUGAGUUUGUUCGUUUCUCUCGACGCACUGCAGUGCGAAUGAUGUUUUAGCAGGUGGCUUAUUGCGGAAAAUGUAACGCAGCAGCUGUAGCGAGUCGUGAUGCCCGACUUCUUCGCGUUACAGUCUCAUAAGGAGACGCCGAUAACACGAUGAGCAAGCUCUUUCGCACCACCUCUAUGCAUUUUUGCUUCACUCUCUUUCGUCUUUUGCACCUUGGCUCGAUUAUUCUGAUGAAAG